This 253-nucleotide ribosomal RNA is filed under the name uncultured bacterium. Its description in RNAcentral is "partial 16S ribosomal RNA". It matches the Rfam family "Bacterial small subunit ribosomal RNA", at positions 524 to 776 of the family's 1533-position model. The record is from RNAcentral.
UACGUAGGCAGCGAGCGUUGUUCGGAAUUACUGGGCGUAAAGCGCACGUAGGCGGAUCUUUAAGUCAGGGGUGAAAUCCCAAGGCUCAACCUUGGAACUGCCUUUGAUACUGGGGAUCUCGAGUCCGGAAGAGGUGAGUGGAACUGCGAGUGUAGAGGUGAAAUUCGUAGAUAUUCGCAAGAACACCAGUGGCGAAGGCGGCUCACUGGUCCGGUACUGACGCUGAGGUGCGAAAGCGUGGGGAGCAAACAGG